Macrobrachium nipponense is the source of this 583-nucleotide long non-coding RNA. RefSeq lists it as uncharacterized. The transcript has 3 exons. The record is from RefSeq and is a predicted model, not a curated record. NCBI's taxonomy places the organism in Eukaryota, Metazoa, Arthropoda, Malacostraca, Decapoda, Palaemonidae.
ACCAACCACCUCUUCCUCCUCUUGUCACCCUCACCGAUCGUCCGUUGUGUUCUGGAGGGUAUAAAACGUCUUGAGCCUCAGGCAAGCCAUCACAGCCUCAUCCCCUUCAGAACACUACUUGCUCCUCGGAAAUCUUGGUUACGUAUCCAGUGCAAAGAUGAAGAUCCUUAUUUUCGCUAUCGCCUUCCUGGCCAUAUCUAGCGACUGCCUGAGCAGUGCUAAUGAUGACCAAUUAAUUGCCUGCCCUGCACAAGUUUCUCGUGGAUGCCCAUACCCACAAGGGCAGUUUCCAGUGUAUUUUGCUCAUCCGGAACACUGCUCCAUGUUCUGUGAAUGCGGGGCUGAAGGCAUCGCUUGGGAAGUCACUUGCAAUCACGACCUGUACUGGAACGAGAAAAUAACUGCCUGCGACUGGCCAGCCAAUGUUGACUGCGGAAGCCGGUCACAACCCUAGAGCAAUCUGGCUACACAGACCAGGAUGAUUAGGAACAUUUACGUGUAUCCGAUUUGCUGUUAAUGAUGCUCCACUUCCCCUCUAAAAAAGGAUUACAUUCUUUUCAAUAAAAGAAUGUACAUGAUGAAA